Molecule: ribosomal RNA, 473 nt
Filed under: uncultured organism
Description: partial 16S ribosomal RNA
Rfam family: Bacterial small subunit ribosomal RNA
Source: RNAcentral
ACACUCCUACGGGAGGCAGCAGUGGGGAAUAUUGCACAAUGGGCGCAAGCCUGAUGCAGCCAUGCCGCGUGUAUGAAGAAGGCCUUCGGGUUGUAAAGUACUUUCAGCGGGGAGGAAGGCGAUAAGGUUAAUAACCUUGUUGAUUGACGUUACCCGCAGAAGAAGCACCGGCUAACUCCGUGCCAGCAGCCGCGGUAAUACGGAGGGUGCAAGCGUUAAUCGGAAUUACUGGGCGUAAAGCGCACGCAGGCGGUCUGUCAAGUCGGAUGUGAAAUCCCCGGGCUCAACCUGGGAACUGCAUUCGAAACUGGCAGGCUAGAGUCUUGUAGAGGGGGGUAGAAUUCCAGGUGUAGCGGUGAAAUGCGUAGAGAUCUGGAGGAAUACCGGUGGCGAAGGCGGCCCCCUGGACAAAGACUGACGCUCAGGUGCGAAAGCGUGGGGAGCAAACAGGAUUAGAUACCCGAGUAGUCCCA